Long non-coding RNA from Triticum dicoccoides, 161 nucleotides. RefSeq lists it as uncharacterized. The transcript is spliced from 2 exons. The record is from RefSeq and is a predicted model, not a curated record. NCBI's taxonomy places the organism in Eukaryota, Viridiplantae, Streptophyta, Magnoliopsida, Poales, Poaceae.
UACAACAAGAUGGUAAAUGGUGUGACAUCUCUUAUGGCUGCUAGAGAUGCUAACUCAACAGAAUGUAUCAAGCUCCUAGUUAAGGUUCAGGAGGAGCCCAUGCUUAAACGGGAAAUCGUGGCAUCAGAGCUUAUAUCACUAGGGAAUAUCUCUUUAAAGAA